Molecule: ribosomal RNA, 436 nt
Rfam family: Bacterial small subunit ribosomal RNA
ACGGAAGGCAGCAGUGGGGAAUAUUGGGCAAUGGGGGAAACCCUGACCCAGCAACGCCGCGUGAAGGAAGAAGGCCUUCGGGUUGUAAACUUCUUUUACCAGGGACGAACAAAUGACGGUACCUGGAGAAAAAGCAACGGCUAACUACGUGCCAGCAGCCGCGGUAAUACGUAGGUGGCGAGCGUUGUCCGGAUUUACUGGGUGUAAAGGGAGCGCAGGCGGGACAGCAAGUUGGAUGUGAAAUACCGAGGCUUAACUUCGGAGCUGCAUCCAAAACUGCCGUUCUUGAGUGAAGUAGAGGUAGGCGGAAUUCCGAGUGUAGCGGUGAAAUGCGUAGAUAUUCGGAGGAACACCGGUGGCGAAGGCGGCCUACUGGGCUUUAACUGACGCUGAGGCUCGAAAGUGUGGGGAGCAAACAGGAUUAGAUACCCUGGUA